Molecule: long non-coding RNA, 531 nt
Organism: Gekko japonicus
Lineage: Eukaryota; Metazoa; Chordata; Lepidosauria; Squamata; Gekkonidae
Exons: 3
Source: RefSeq, a predicted model, not a curated record
UCAGGACAAAUACAUCAAUCAAAUGUUUUAAGGCAAUCACGUAUAUACAUACAUUUAAAAACAUAUGCUCAAACAUUCAGAAACUAUGGAAAAACAAAUAUAAGUUUGGGUCCCAGUUUUCCUGGGAGAAGGGUAGGGUUAUAAAUGCUGUAAAUAAAUAAGUUGACAAUAAACCUUGCUGUGAAGAAUCAGUAGGACUUCUGUAAAUGGAAACCCUGCCUCUCCAACUUUUUCGUCUCAACCAAGAUGGGAGUGGGAUAAAUCAGUAGACAUUGUAUUCUAGGAUUUCCAAGAAGCGUUUGCAAAGUCACUCACCAAAGCUUCCUGAGUACUCAUGGAAAAAGAGGAAAGAUCCUCUUAUUACAAUACCAACAGCAACCAAAAGCAGGCAAAAAUGUUACUGAAGUUGUCAGCUUUCAGUUUUGUGUGGUAGGCUUUACGGGAUCCUUGUUUGCUCAUGGACCUCUCUGUCAACAGUGAAACUGUUGGAUCAGACUAGGAGUCGAGCAAGAGAACCUCCAGGAGAUAAAG